This 340-nucleotide long non-coding RNA is filed under the name Equus caballus (horse). RNAcentral's name for it is "lncRNA (ENSECAG00000036280.3)". Lineage: Eukaryota; Metazoa; Chordata; Mammalia; Perissodactyla; Equidae. The record is from RNAcentral.
GGAGAAGCGGCCAGGGCAAGCGGAAGGAAGCCGCGCAGCGAGCCUCCCUUGAGUGUCGCCAGGCGGCUGGGCGCCCGUGGGCGGCCCUGGGGACCAGGCCCUGGGGACCAGGCCGUGCGCAGCGCAGCCCCGCCGCGGGCCCUGCCUCCCCUUGCGGAGGCCGCCCUGAGCUCCGCUCCCUUGGCCGCUUAUUCUCGCCUCUGUCUUUCCCAAGCCGGGCAGGACAUCAGACGUGCCCAGGGAGUGCUCUCCAAGACGCUCUGGGGCCGAGCCUGAGGGUCAGGCGGAGGUUUCAGCUAUGGUGCUCCUCAGCUGUGCGUGCAAAGAUUUAUGUACGGAG